AUUAUGGCGUCAGGAUGAACGCUAGCGACAAGGCUUAACACAUGCAAGUCGAGGGGCAGCAUAAAAGUAGCAAUACUUGGUGGCGACCGGCGCACGGGUGAGUAACGCGUAUGCAACCUACCUAUCAGAGGGGAAUAACCCGGCGAAAGUCGGACUAAUACCGCAUAAAACAGGGGCACCGCAUGGUGAUAUUUGUUAAAGAAAUUCGCUGAUAGAUGGGCAUGCGUUCCAUUAGGUAGUUGGUGAGGUAACGGCUCACCAAGCCGACGAUGGAUAGGGGAACUGAGAGGUUGGUCCCCCACACUGGUACUGAGACACGGACCAGACUCCUACGGGAGGCAGCAGUGAGGAAUAUUGGUCAAUGGGCGGGAGCCUGAACCAGCCAAGUCGCGUGAAGGAAGAAGGAUCUAUGGUUCGUAAACUUCUUUUGCAGGGGAAUAAAGUGCAGGACGUGUCCUGUUUUGUAUGUACCCUGAGAAUAAGGAUCGGCUAACUCCGUGCCAGCCGCGGC
This 511-nucleotide ribosomal RNA is filed under the name uncultured bacterium. RNAcentral describes it as "bacterial SSU rRNA". It matches the Rfam family "Bacterial small subunit ribosomal RNA", at positions 1 to 518 of the family's 1533-position model. The record is from RNAcentral.